ACGCUGGCGGCGUGCCUAAUACAUGCAAGUAGAACGCUGAAGGAGGAGCUUGCUUCUCCGGAUGAGUUGCGAACGGGUGAGUAACGCGUAGGUAACCUGCCUGGUAGCGGGGGAUAACUAUUGGAAACGAUAGCUAAUACCGCAUAAGAGUAGAUGUUGCAUGACAUUUGCUUAAAAGGUGCAAUUGCAUCACUACCAGAUGGACCUGCGUUGUAUUAGCUAGUUGGUGGGGUAACGGCUCACCAAGGCGACGAUACAUAGCCGACCUGAGAGGGUGAUCGGCCACACUGGGACUGAGACACGGCCCAGACUCCUACGGGAGGCAGCAGUAGGGAAUCUUCGGCAAUGGACGGAAGUCUGACCGAGCAACGCCGCGUGAGUGAAGAAGGUUUUCGGAUCGUAAAGCUCUGUUGUAAGAGAAGAACGAGUGUGAGAGUGGAAAGUUCACACUGUGACGGUAUCUUACCAGAAAGGGACGGCUAACUACGUGCCAGCAGCCGCGGUAAUACGUAGGUCCCGAGCGUUGUCCGGAUUUAUUGGGCGUAAAGCGAGCGCAGGCGGUUAGAUAAGUCUGAAGUUAAAGGCUGUGGCUUAACCAUAGUACGCUUUGGAAACUGUUUAACUUGAGUGCAAGAGGGGAGAGUGGAAUUCCAUGUGUAGCGGUGAAAUGCGUAGAUAUAUGGAGGAACACCGGUGGCGAAAGCGGCUCUCUGGCUUGUAACUGACGCUGAGGCUCGAAAGCGUGGGGAGCAACAGGAUUAGAUACCCUGGUAGUCCACGCCGUAAACGAUGAGUGCUAGGUGUUAGACCCUUUCCGGGGUUUAGUGCCGCAGCUAACGCAUUAAGCACUCCGCCUGGGGAGUACGACCGCAAGGUUGAAACUCAAAGGAAUUGACGGGGGCCCGCACAAGCGG
Molecule: ribosomal RNA, 914 nt
Filed under: uncultured bacterium
Lineage: Bacteria
Description: bacterial SSU rRNA
Rfam family: Bacterial small subunit ribosomal RNA
Source: RNAcentral